Molecule: long non-coding RNA, 989 nt
Filed under: Felis catus (domestic cat)
Lineage: Eukaryota; Metazoa; Chordata; Mammalia; Carnivora; Felidae
Description: lncRNA (ENSFCAG00000048470.1)
Source: RNAcentral
AUGAAAAUAGGCAUACUUUCUCCCAGUGACCUUUUGGCUCAUGCCUGGAUAGGAAUCUUGGGUAUUUACUGGCCAUGUGACUUGGGGGACAAGUUUCUUAGCCCCGCCCCCCCCCUGAGUUUCUGUUUUCCAUCUGAAAAUGGGAACAGGAGAUUGAAUGGGAAAGGGUGUAAAGCAAAACUCAAGAACCUGGUUCAUGGUAGAUGUUCAAAGGUUGGAGUGGCCUUUACACACCUCACACUCCCCACUGUUGUGUGUCCUCAGACUCAGUCUCUCUCCCUCCCUGGCCUCUACCGAAUGCAGUGGGCCCUCCUUCACUCUGCUGCACGCCCCCCCCCCCACCAGUCAUGCUGCACAUCUCUGCAAGACUGGCAGUAUUCUGUCCCAGGACUGCAGCUACCGUCAGGAGGCUCAGCCUGCCCCAUCAGCAAGCAUCCUGGCCCUGUCUGCUCAUCAGCCUCCAACAUCUGGAUGAAACCCUACUUGAAAGAAAGUGCUGCAGUGUUGAGAGCUUGCUCUACCUGGAACAAUGAAGGCAGAUGCAGCUUGUUUUAAGAAAUUCUUCAACAGGAAUUAGGCAGGUCAAGAACUGUGAAGAAACCCAUCAGGAAUGGCAGUGUGUAAUAAGGGACAAAGGAGUUGGGAUUUGAUCCAGAUCUUCUGUCUCCAAGCACAGUCUUCAUUCUGUGGCACACAGUAGCCAACUUCAGGACACCGGUUCUGAUUGCAUGACUACAGAGAUUCAAGAGGCUCAAAAUGAACCCUGCCACCGGUUUUCGAACCCUGUGAGUUCUUUCUUAGCCUGGGUCUCACCUUAUCCCAAAGGAAUGUUCUUGUGAUGAAGACAAGUUGAGAAGAAAGGCUGGCCCCAGCUCAUGCAUUACAGUCAAAACCAUUUGUUUUGUUAACCUCAUGUGAACAUUACAAAUGUGUGAUGGAGCAGAGGCCACAUCCUUCUAUAGAUUAGCAAUUUCUUGAGUCAACAUGGC